GUGCGUCUUCAGGGCGGGGCGAAAUUCCCCACCGGCGGUAUGUGCGGCGGCCGAAAGGUUGUCCACGAGCCCGCGAGCGCCCGUCGAGCAGGAUCAAGGCAGGAUCGACGGGGUCAGCAGAUCUGGUGCGAAGCCAGAGCCGACGGUCAUAGUCCGGAUGGAAGAAGAUGUGC
Molecule: non-coding RNA, 173 nt
Filed under: Caballeronia choica
Lineage: Bacteria; Pseudomonadati; Pseudomonadota; Betaproteobacteria; Burkholderiales; Burkholderiaceae
Description: Burkholderia choica FMN sequence
Rfam family: FMN riboswitch aptamer (RFN element)
About the family: The RFN element is a highly conserved domain that is found frequently in the 5'-untranslated regions of prokaryotic mRNAs that encode for flavin mononucleotide (FMN) biosynthesis and transport proteins. This element is a metabolite-dependent riboswitch that directly binds FMN in the absence of proteins. In Bacillus subtilis, the riboswitch most likely controls gene expression by causing premature transcription termination within the 5' untranslated region of the ribDEAHT operon and precluding access to the ribosome-binding site of ypaA mRNA.
Source: RNAcentral